Molecule: ribosomal RNA, 468 nt
Filed under: uncultured bacterium
Lineage: Bacteria
Description: partial 16S ribosomal RNA
Rfam family: Bacterial small subunit ribosomal RNA
Source: RNAcentral
GACGAACGCUGGCGGCGUGCUUAACACAUGCAAGUCGAACGGAAAGGCCCUGGUUUUGUGGGGUGCUCGAGUGGCGAACGGGUGAGUAACACGUGAGUAACCUGCCCUUGACUUUGGGAUAACUUCAGGAAACUGGGGCUAAUACCGGAUAGGAACUCCUGCUGCAUGGUGGGGGUUGGAGAGUUUCGGCGGUUGGGGAUGGACUCGGGGCUUAUCAACUUGUGGGUGGGGUAGGGGCUUACCAAGGCUUUGACGGGUCGCCGGCCUGAGGGGGUGACCGGCAACAUUGGGACUGAGAUACGGCCAAGACUCCUACGGGAGGAAGCAGUGGGGAAUAUUGAACAAUGGGCGGAAGCCUGAUGAAGCAACGCCGCGUGCGGGAUGACGGCCUUCGGGCUGUAAACCGUUUUCGCCUGUGACGAAGCGUGAGUGACGGUAAUGGGUAAAGAAGCACCGGCUAACUACGUG